GUAAAACUGGAAACAAGACCCAAUUCUUCAUAUAUGGUGGUUAACACUGAAAAUCCCGUUUCUCACGCUAGGCUUACCCACCAUUUUAGGGGGUAUUGGCUCUCCAGAGGGCUCUCCCAUGUCUGAGAGUGUAAACUAAUUGGCCUCGGGCCUCACUCUCAUGAAUCGUGAGCCAAUCACCUUGCGUAAUUGCUAAUGAGAGCG
This is a non-coding RNA of Paramuricea clavata, 204 nucleotides long. The record is from the annotation of a GenBank genome assembly. NCBI's taxonomy places the organism in Eukaryota, Metazoa, Cnidaria, Anthozoa, Malacalcyonacea, Plexauridae.